GACGGAGGGGGCGAGCGCUGUUCGGAAUCACUGGGCGUAAAGAGCGUGUAGGCGGUGCGGAAAGUCCGGUGUGAAAGUCCUCGGCUUAACCGGGGAAGGGCACUGGAGACUUCUGCGCUGGAGUGCGGGAGAGGGGAGUGGAAUUCCCAGUGUAGCGGUGAAAUGCGUAGAUAUUGGGAAGAACACCAGUGGCGAAGGCGGCUCCCUGGACCGCAACUGACGCUGAGACGCGAAAGCUGGGGGAGCAAACGGGAUUAGAAA
RNAcentral lists this ribosomal RNA (261 nucleotides) under uncultured bacterium. RNAcentral's name for it is "partial 16S ribosomal RNA". It matches the Rfam family "Bacterial small subunit ribosomal RNA", at positions 524 to 784 of the family's 1533-position model. The record is from RNAcentral.